CUCACAGGUUCUUCUCUUUUUCCCCUGGUGGGGAGAUAUAAACAUGGUUGGCAUAAUGGCAGAGGGACUUCUCAGAGAAAAACAAUAUGUCUCUUUUUUUUUUAAUAGCUCUACAUCAGAAUUUCUUUCAAAUUGUAGGGGAAUUCUUCACUUAUUUAGUGUCACGUAUAGCUAAUAUUUUUUCAUUUUUCAUAAAAGGCUAAUAAAACCCAUGUGGUUAAAUAAUUGGUUUUCAGGAUUGCUUCUGUGAUGGGUGUUUGUCUUUAUUCCAUCACAAACUGUCAUACUGUGCCUGUUACUCUGCUGUGUUACUGUGAGGAGGAGCUCAGUACAGUUGAACCAGAUGCAGUUGCACAGAAUAUAUCACUUCCCAAGAGUAAUUAAUUUGGCCACUAUGAUGUUUAUCUUGCUUUAGUCUGAUUUUUUUUUUUCCCAGCUUUGGCUUUCAUUAGUGUGCUGUCCUCCCUUGUCUGUCACCUGCCAGAAGACAGCACCAUUUUUCUGUGGGUUUGGAGGGGAGCUGCCAUAGGCUGCAUUCUGGUUUGUUCCUGGGCAAGUGCCUGACCAUGAAACAGUCACACUGCACAGCUCCCCAUGUGCACCAUUUAUAGAAGGACCAAGGGCUGCAGCUUGUCCUGCAGUCCUAACAGAGAUCAAGCUGUUACAAGGCCACGUAUACCAAGUAUGCAGAGAGCAGCAUGCUGCAUAUCGGGUAUCUCUGACAGCUGGCAGCAUCCUUGGAGUACAUGCAUAGCACCAAUAGCACAAGGACAAACCCAAAGGCUUUGAAAUGUUUCAUGAGGUUUGCUCAUAUGUUAUGUUUUCU
Molecule: long non-coding RNA, 826 nt
Filed under: Phasianus colchicus (ring-necked pheasant)
Lineage: Eukaryota; Metazoa; Chordata; Aves; Galliformes; Phasianidae
Description: lncRNA (ENSPCLG00000003259.1)
Source: RNAcentral